Molecule: ribosomal RNA, 582 nt
Filed under: uncultured bacterium
Lineage: Bacteria
Description: bacterial SSU rRNA
Rfam family: Bacterial small subunit ribosomal RNA
Source: RNAcentral
AGAGUUUGAUCCUGGUUCAGGACGAACGCGGGCGGCGUGCUUAACACAUGCAAGUCGAGCGGUAAGGCCUUUCGGGGUACACGAGCGGCGAACGGGUGAGUAACACGUGGGUGACCUGCCCUCAGCUCUGGGAUAAGCCUGGGAAACUGGGUCUAAUACCGGAUAUGACCUUUCCUCGCAUGGGGUUUGGUGGAAAGUUUUUCGGCUGGGGAUGGGCCCGCGGCCUAUCAGCUUGUUGGUGGGGUGAUGGCCUACCAAGGCGACGACGGGUAGCCGGCCUGAGAGGGCGACCGGCCACACUGGGACUGAGACACGGCCCAGACUCCUACGGGAGGCAGCAGUGGGGAAUAUUGCGCAAUGGGCGGAAGCCUGACGCAGCGACGCCGCGUGGGGGAUGACGGCCUUCGGGUUGUAAACCUCUUUCGCCAGGGACGAAGCGCAAGUGACGGUACCUGGAUAAGAAGCACCGGCCAACUACGUGCCAGCAGCUGCGGUAACACGUAGGGUGCGAGCGUUGUCCGGAAUUAUUGGGCGUAAAGAGCUCGUAGGCGGUCUGUCGCGUCGGUCGUGAAAACCUGCAGC